This 23-nucleotide non-coding RNA is filed under the name Rattus norvegicus (Norway rat). The record is from RNAcentral. Lineage: Eukaryota; Metazoa; Chordata; Mammalia; Rodentia; Muridae.
UAUUAAAGUACCUGUUUGGAUCC